RNAcentral lists this ribosomal RNA (301 nucleotides) under uncultured bacterium. RNAcentral's name for it is "partial 16S ribosomal RNA". It matches the Rfam family "Bacterial small subunit ribosomal RNA", at positions 509 to 807 of the family's 1533-position model. The record is from RNAcentral.
CAGUCGCCGCGGGAAUACAGAGGGUGCGAGCGUUAAUCGGAUUUACUGGGCGUAAAGCGUGCGUAGGCGGCUUCUUAAGUCGGAUGUGAAAUCCCUGAGCUUAACUUAGGAAUUGCAUUCGAUACUGGGAAGCUAGAGUAUGGGAGAGGAUGGUAGAAUUCCAGGUGUAGCGGUGAAAUGCGUAGAGAUGUGGAGGAAUACCGAUGGCGAAGGCAGCCAUCUGGCCUAAUACUGACGCUGAGGUACGAAAGCAUGGGGAGCAAACAGGAUUAGAUACCCGAGUAGUCCCUGUCUCUUAUAC